GAGUUUGAUCAUGGCUCAGAUUGAACGCUGGCGGCAUGCCUUACACAUGCAAGUCGAACGCGAAAGUGGGGGCAACCCUGCGAGUAGAGUGGCGAACGGGUGAGUAACACAUCGGAACGUACCCAGGAGUGGGGGACAACCUCGAGAAAUCGAGGCUAAUACCGCAUACGUCCUGAGGGAGAAAGCGGGGGAUUCGCAAGGACCUCGCGCUCAUGGAGCGGCCGAUGUCGGAUUAGCUAGUUGGCGGGGUAAAAGCCCACCAAGGCUACGAUCCGUAGCUGGUUUGAGAGAACGACCAGCCACACUGGGACUGAGACACGGCCCAGACUCCUACGGGAGGCAGCAGUGGGGAAUUUUGGACAAUGGGGGCAACCCUGAUCCAGCCAUGCCGCGUGAGUGAAGAAGGCCUUCGGGUUGUAAAGCUCUUUCGGCCGGAACGAAAUCGCGUACGCGAAUAACGUGCGUGGAUGACGGUACUGGAAGAAGAAGCACCGGCUAACUACGUGCCAGCAGCCGCGGUAAUACGUAGGGUGCGAGCGUUAAUCGGAAUUACUGGGCGUAAAGCGUGCGCAGGCGGUUCUGCAAGUCAGAUGUGAAAUCCCCGGGCUUAACCUGGGAACUGCGUUUGAAACUACGGAGCUAGAGUGCGGCAGAGGGGGG
RNAcentral lists this ribosomal RNA (660 nucleotides) under uncultured bacterium. RNAcentral describes it as "bacterial SSU rRNA". It matches the Rfam family "Bacterial small subunit ribosomal RNA", at positions 9 to 661 of the family's 1533-position model. The record is from RNAcentral.